UCUGUCUGGUUUUGAAAUGCGGUGUUUUUCUAACCCCAGAGUAACACAGCAUAGCCCUGGCUAACACGUAUUUCCGGGGUCUGCGUGCCUGUUAGCAGCAGAAACAGGCACAAAUGUAGGAGAACGGGUAAUCCAGAAGAAAGAAACACUCAUUGAAGUACAUAAAGACAGGGGGUUAGAGAAAAACAUAAAAAGAGAAAGAGAAAUAUUUUUAGAAAUUUUUAAAGUUUACUUAUUUUUGAGAGAGAGAGACAGAGCACGAGUGGGGGAGGGGCAGAGAGAGAGGAAGACCUAGAAUCUGAAGCAGGCUCCAGGCUCCGAGCUGUCAGCACAGAGCCGGACGCGGGGCUCGAACUCACAGACCGUGAGAUCGUGACCUGAGCCGAAGUCAGGCACUUCACGGACUGAGCCACCCAGGCGCCCCGAGAAAUAUUUUUAAAGGGAGGUAUUCCCACUUAGAAGAUUUGUUUGUUUGUUUUAAAUCACCUACUCUAUUACUCAGAGAUAAGCCUUGUUCAUAUUUCUCCUUCCUGUCUUUUUUUGGUGUUACGCUUUUGGGAUCAGACUGCACAGAAAGUUUCGUAUCUUGGUUGUUUCACGUAGCCCUAUUUGUGGGUUAUUUCCCCGUGUCAUUGAGUCGUGAUUUAACGCAUACUUUUUGAACGGAUUGCCCAGUAAUCUGUUGAGCUGCUCUAUCAAAACUUUCUGGACACAUCCCCUACUGUUAGAUGUUCAGGUUGUUUCUACCGCGGGGUGAGUGUAAACAGGGCUGCAGUGAGCAUCCCAGAGUGCUGCUUGCGUCCCUGCUGUCUCUAAGAAUUGGCUAGAUCUGGGAGAGGUGGUCUCUGCCGGGUGAGUGAGGCCACAAAUGCCAGAGCAUCAAGAACAGAGAACACAAGAAAAUACAGUUAAUGCAGUUGGCUGUGAUGAAUGUGUGCCAAACAAACAGAUACAGAAUCUAAGAAAACACAGAACACUCUCCCAGGUGAGAUUUCUAAUAAGUUUCCAUUUCAAUUACAAAUUAUCUCUGUUACUUAUUGUAGAAGUACCUUCCGGGUGCUGGAGCAAAGGUAAAUCAAUCAUGGCGACUCUACCAACAAGUUUAGGAGUUGAGUUGAGAUGGGAGACGGGCACAUGCACAGUUAUGAGCGAACUGAAGUUCCGGGGGGGGGGGGGGGGGGAUCAAGGGAAAGAAGACGCGUCCUCGAAUCCCUAUUCUGCUCCUUCCCAGCUAAGUGCCCUUGGACAUAUGGCUUAGCCCCUCAGAGCUUCUCUUAUGGGUAGAAUGGUGGUAGUGAUCCCUCCCUCCAUCCCUCCUCCCUCCAGCCAUGUAGAUCAAUGAAAAAGCACCUAGCCCACGCAGGAGGCAUGCGGGAGGUGCUUGACUCACGAGUGCCUGGGGUUUACAAAGAGGAACAGAGGCAGGUGCCCAAAGCGGAGGAGCGUGUAGUUAAUUGUGCCUAGGGAGAGAGGAAGUUGCUUCCUUCCACCUUGAUUUGGUUAAGGCUAUUUGGGUUGCAGGGAAUAAAAACCCAUUUCAGAGGCGCUGAGACAAAAGGGAAAACUAUUAUAAUAAGACUACAAGGUAGUUCCUGCCACCAGAGGUAAGAAGGGCAAGGAGAUUAGAACAAAUUGGAACUCCUCCCCCGCCUUUGACAGAGGGAAGACCCGAUUGGCCAGUUUGGGUCAGGUGUCUACCCUGGUCCAAUCUGUGGUGGGCAGGUGGGUGGAGUCUCACACAGCAGACAGGUUUCUGGGGCUCCCUCCUUGUAUGCGGCUCUCAGAGAAAAGUGGUUAUGUGGGCUGGGCAGGCUGCCCCCAAAUCAUCUCUUAUAUUUGGGGCAAGGAAAACGUUAAGAGGGCCCAAGUGCAAGUUUAUCAAUGAGGUGAAGUUAGGAGCACGCCGUUUGAAUUGCAGCGCUGCUCUCUGCCCUGGUUGUUGGGGCGGGGGGGGGGGGGGGGCUGUGAAAGGGAGCCCAAGAGGCCAGCUGCCCAGAAGGCAGCAUCGCAAGGGGUUGCCGGCACUGGAAGCUUGGCCUCAGCCUGGAAGAGUCAGGCCUCAGUUUCUUGUGUUUAGCGAAUAGGCAUUUCAGCUGAGCACCUGCUCUCCCUGCCUGUGUGGGGUGGGCGGGGCUGUAUAAACCAUCGAGCUCUCUCUUCCCUGAAGGAGUUUGCAGUCUGGGAGGGAGGUGGGGGAAGCUAUUUUUAUCAGUGCCUUAGCCUUCGGGACAAAUUUGAUACAAAAGUAGAGCUAGGAGGGGUGUUACCAGCAUGGCCUUUAGACUCAGAGAGACCUGUCUUCAAGGCCCAGCUCUCUCACUAUCUGUCAUUGUAACUUGGGGGAAAGGCAUGCAACUUCUCUGCAGGUCAGUUUUAAAUCCACCCUACAUGGCGGUUGCGACCAUGACCUGAACUUACAGAUGUAGGAAACUGAAGCUGCCUGUAUCCUCCCCUGUCUCUACUGAUAGAAAUCCUACGUAUUCUUCCAGCUCCAGCUCAGGUAUCACCUUUGGCAGUUUUCCUAGCAGGAAAAUAUAGGUCCUUUGUCACACUUCCAUAGCCCAUUCCCAGUUCCUGUAGUAAUCAUCACGAUCAUAGCAGCAGCUAACUUGUGUUGACUGUUUACUAUAUGACAGGGACUGUGCUAAUCCUUACAGGGCCCCUCAAGGUAGGUAUUAUUACAAUCCCCUUUUACGUAUUAGGAAACUGGCACAGAGCGGUUAAUUAACUUGCCCAAGGACACACAGUCAGUAGGUAGUAAAGCUGGGAUUCGAAUUGAGUGUGUGCAUUGCCAAGGCCCUUGCUUUUAUCCAUGGCUCCCUGCUGCCUGCAUUGGGCCCACCACUCUGCCAGGCCCCUUCUCUCCCUGACACUGGUUAGUAAGUAUUGAAAUGGCAAUCCUGGGGAAGAUAAUGCCUCCCCUGCUGGAGAAGGUAAGCAUCAGGGAGCUGGCCUGAAGCCAGGUUACAGAAGUAGCAGAGCCUGGAGAGCCAGGCAGCUGCCUCUCUUGUAUUUGAAUAUGAGUAACCCUCAGAGCAAGCCAGAAUGCAAUUCAUACUGAAUUGUUGGCAGUUUUAAGCCCAAGGGAUUGUGGGAGGUGAGUUUAAAUAGCAAGUAAUGACUGGUCUUGUCACCGUGAUAUUUAAAUAGAGGCUCUUGUUGGCAGAUGUAAAGCAGAUGUUAGAACGGGAGAUCUGAGCUGAGGUUUCACUCGGCAAGGUUUCCUACCUCUGGGACCUUUGGCUGCUUUUCUGGAAACCGUUUACUUUUUUUCCAGAGUCGUAGCUGGCACCAAAAAGGUCCUUAGAGCUAUUGCUAAGAAUAGUGAUAAUAAAAAUGAUAAAAAAUAAUGAUAGUAACAAGCUAGAAUUGUUUUAGUACUUUUUUAUGUGCCAGGUGAUGUUUCAACAUGUACGUUAUUUCAUGUAACAUGACAUUCCCAACAUGGUUUAUAAUCCUCCAUUUUUCAGAGGGGAAGCCAAAGCUCAGAGAGUUAAGGUAAUUCCCCUGAAGUCAUACAGCAGUAAGUGGCACAGGCAGGACCCAGCCCAGGACUUCUGGUCUUCAAAAUCCACACAGGGAAGCUGAAGCAGAGAGAGAAGUGACCUUGAUUUUGCUGCCCCACCCUUGACAUUGAGGUCUGUUGAAGCCACGCCAAGAAAGCAGCUGAGUUUGAAACCUUGCUGCCUGCUUGUAGUGUGGCCCUCACCCUCCUUCCCUCUCCAGCAGCCCUUCCCAUUCAGAGGCUGCACUAUGAGUACAGGGACCAAAAGUCCUGGCUUGUGCCUCACGGCCACGUAUAUUAAUAGAGCCCCCUUUCGUUUUCAAAGCGUCCCAGUUGGGUCCACCUGUGUCCUCAAUAUAAGGUUCCUGAUAGUUGGGAGGCCUCACUGCUUCCUCACCUGUAUAUAUGGGACCAAAGUGCUGGGGACACCUGUUAAGGUCCGGCCCUGCCGCUUGCUCACUCUGACUUUGGCCAUGUCUUGGUCUUUCUCGGGCAGUUGAAAUUCUCCACUGGCAGGAGCCCCCAUGGAGGUAUUUGCCUCCAAAUGAGGCUGGCCCUUGCCUCUUUCCUCCCUUCUCUUCCACCUCAGUGGACUCUGCCCAAUGAAGUCGAGAGCCAGUUGGGCGCCAAUUCGGUGUUGCCUCAGCGGCAUCGUCCCCAUCUGACAUCGCGGGCGGAGGAACUCAGGAUCCAAAGAUAUGGCAGGUGAAGAUGCUGGCCUGAGGCCACCACCAGGCAGUUCUCCCAACCUGCCCCUCAGUGGGGCAGGAAUCUGUUUUAGUCUUGAGACAGAGUCACGGAGUCCAAGGUCAAAUCCCUGUUCUGGGUUAGCCAUCCACGUGGACUUGUUCAACACUUCCCCCUUUAAAUGACUUCUGUGAACACACCUGGUGUGGUUCCUCUGCAAAAAGAGGAAGUCGGUGAAGCCACCCAGGCCCCACCCCUCAUUCCCUCCCUACCAGCAGACCCAGACACCCCCAUUUUGCAGUUUUCCAGCUCUGAGGUUUGGAGGCGGAGCUUAACGUCAGGAGUUCUGCCGGUUGUCACCUCGACUCUGAAUCGCCUCUCGCCACACACUUGAGGGCUGCUAAUAGGUGUACGUUCAAACUGUGUAACCCCUGGGCCGGUGGCAUCGCCUUUGCCUGACUUUCAAUGCUCACAAAAUUGAAUCAAGCACCACUUCACAAGGGCUUGGGGCAUAAUUAACGUUGAUGAAGCCCUUUGAAAUGCCUGGAUGAAAGGGCAUUUAAUUAUAUUGCGCUGUUACUAACCAGGUCUGUCUGUAGCCAGUUGUUAUGCGUGGAGAUUGAUAUGCUUGUGGAAAUGGCUUUUAAAAGAAACCCCAGCUGCCUGUGUCACUAGUGGGAAUGUAGCACUCCCGAGGCAGGGUUGUCUUUUUUUCCUAAUUUACCUGGGCCGCCUUUGAAGGGCACCUCAGAGAACACAGUGGGAGACAGCCCGGAGGAAUAGUGACCGUCGGGAGACUGGAAGUCAGACCUGGAGCGACACAGAGCCUCCUGUCCCCACCUCUGCCAAGUUUUUACAUUUCUUUGGGCCUUACUUUGUUCACGUGUAAAGUCCUUCCAACCCGUGUGCCGAACCUAGGACUCCUGACAGUACACACUUCGUAGGUGGGUUAUCGCCCAAAGGCAACGCAUGGAAAGGGUUUCACGCCACACCUAAUGUGUAUAUAUAAAAACACUCCGUAAAUACCGUCCUUGAUUAUCAUAGUAACCUUUUAACCUUGUUUUUCUGCUGCUUAGCCUGCUUAUGAUUUUUUUUAAGUUUAUUUAUUUAUUCUGAGAGAGAGAGAGGGAGAGGGAGACAGAAUCCCAAGCAGGCUCCACACUCAGAGCCUGACAUGGGGCUCAAACCCGCAAACCCACGACAUCACGACCUGAGCCGAGAUCAAGAGUCGGAGCCACCCAGGAGCCCCUACGGUUUUUAUUUCUAGGUUUGGGCCCUCACCAUCCUCCUCCCCGAAAUAGUAUUGACUUGUCUACAUGGCCACAGGGGCUCAUUUCCCUUCUUGAUCUCUUUACUUCCACCUGGCGAGUGGUUAGCACACUCUUCGGGCAGCCUUGUGGACCUCAUCGGCAUUGCAUCUGAGGACAGCUUAGUCUCUUGCAGUAAAAAUAAAAUAGCUACCAGUUACAGGUUGAACCAUAUGAAACUACCAUUUUGUAUGGGUCCAAGUGGCAAAAUAGUGGCAUUUUCCUCCAGCUCACCCUAGUUCCAAGUUACCGAGGUAAGUGCUUUCUCCCAACUAUCUCAGGAAGUCCACGCACCAGCUCUGAGAGAGGGGCACUGCUGACCCAGCUAGCGAGGAGGUGAAGCAAAUCCCCCAGCCCGCCCUUGAACCUGCAGCCGCGUGAUCCCCACGUGCCCUCUGAGAAGCCCUCACUGUGGUCUCCGCUUUCUGCACAACUCCCAGAGCCUGGUUCCAGCUCCCCUUUGUCCCCCAUAAAGGAAAUAAGGCAGCUGUGAGGUGUUGUGGGAGCCAGAACCAGGGUCCUUCUGUCUCCUCUCUGCCCAAAGCAGUCGCUGUAGAAUCACUGCCAGUUAACUCUUUGAACCAUUAAUCAUUAGCAUAGAUAAACUGACUUUCUGCGCCGAGUGCCUGCCUGGCCCCCAGGUCUCUGCCUCCUUGAGGAUGAGUUCCUUGCUCUGUAGCCUUAAUGAGCUACACUUAAUGAAGGGCUUCCUUUGGGGUCUUCAGACUUGACCCUCUAAAGAAACACCUUGUGUUUCCUCAUUCAUUUCUUUGGUUGACAUCUAAGACAUAAAACUUGUGUCACAAGUUUAUAUUUGCAAAGUGUGUCGUUUCUAGCACAUUUUAAUACAAGUAUUUUUUUUAUAGCCCCUGAGAUAUAAAGCCCACGUGAUAUCUACCAUCAGCCUUCGGAACAAACUCCUUUUUAUUUUAUUUUUUUAUUUUGAGAGAGAGAGAGAGUGCGCACGCAUACGAGUGGGGGAGAGGGAGAGAGGGGAGGGGGGGGAGGGAGAGGGAGAGGGAGGGAGGGAGGGAAUCUUAAGCAGGCUCCACGCUCGGUGUGGAGCCUGACAGACUCCAUCCCCUGACCCUGGGAUCGUGACCUGAGCCAAAACCAAGAGUCAGGCACUCAACCAACUGAGCCCCCCCCCAGGAGCCCCUGAAAAAGCUCUUCCUUAGCAGUCGGAAAUUUUUACGUCAUUCCUGUUUGUCCCUAACUUUGUAUUUUCCCGACCUUUCCCCCACAGAAUUUUGUCCCCAAACAGUGUCUGUGUUUUAACACUUAAAAAUUAUAUGGACGCAUAUCCUACUUGUGUACAAGAAAGGAUGUAAAAUAGGCGAUCGAAUUUCACUUUGUUAAUAUUUCCUUUGGCAUAAGGUUUGUGAAAUAACAAAAAUUCAACCAAGUAAAUUUUGUAGAUCUAAUUGGCUUUAUUAAUUGAUUCAUGAAUCAGGCAGCAUCACAUCCAGCAAGUAGAGAGGAGCUCCAAAGGGCUACAGAAAGGGAAGCGGUUUUAAAAGCAAGACAAGAAAGUUAUAAACAGAAAAAAGGACUAUUUCAGGUGAGAUGACCUUUGGGGACAAACGGGUCUUAUUAGGUGGAUUGUGUCAUCUUCCUUUGGGGGAUAGAGAGAGUCUAUGUGACAGAGUACUUUACUGGUGUUGACCAGAAGCUUCCUGACUGACCAGUUAAGACUACAUUUCUGGGGGAGGUUAGAACUUCAGUUAGGGGAGGUAUUAAGCCCCAGUUUGGUGAGUUGGCCUAAGUGAGGCCAUUUUGGGCCUCUGGCUUUCUUUUUAACAUGUUCAGAAAUAACUGAUUCAACCCAGAAGCUUUUUAUUGAUACAAUUGAAUAAAAGCAAUUGAUUAAUGUAAUAUAAAGUUUUAUAAUAAUUAUCAAGCAUAAAAUAACACAUGAAGAAUGAAUAUCUGGGGGUACCUGGGUGUCUCAGUCAGUUAAGUGUCCAACUUCAGCUCAGGUCAUAAAUUCACAGACCAUGAGUUUGAGCCCUGCAUCAGGCUCUGUGCUGACAGCUCAGAGCCUGGAGCCUGCUUUAAUUUCUGUGUUUCCUUCUCUCUCUGCCCCUCCUGCCCCUCACUUUCUCUCUCUCUUUUCUCUCUCUCAUAAAUAAAUAAAUAAUUCAAAAAAAUUAAAAAAAAAUUUUUUUAAAUGAAUAUCUGAAUGAGAAUGGGACUUUGUUUUUAAUAUUCAAGACAAAUAUUACUGAUGGCUAGAAUGGGACAGAUUUUAGCAUCAGUUCUGUUGCAGGUUUGGGGUGUUAUAGCUAGAGGUGCUGAGAACGUGUUCACAGAAGUACCUAGAAUGGAAGGAAUGUUGUUAUGGCAGCAUCCCUAAAUUCUUUCAAUUCCUCCGAAGUUUCGUGCUAAAAAUCACAUAGUGAUAACCUAUUUUUAUUGACUUAUCAGCUAACAAUAUGAGGAGAGCCUCUUUCAGCUUCAUUCAAAACAAAGUACUAUAUACAUUUCAUUUACCACAGUACUUGUUUGGCUUUCACAGUGUAGGUUCCCUCUCCUUGUAGAUUCUUUGGCUGGUCUAAUAAUUAAAUUGACAUAAGAUAGAUUCCACAAGAGAAAAAUUUAAUGUCAUACAUAUGGAGGCCCCAAAGAAGUAACCAAAGCUGGUAACUUUCAUACCUUUUAGACAAUAAAUUUGUGAAGAAUUGAUAAGACAAAAGGGGUUGGGCUUUGGGUAGUAAAUUAGUGAAGUAGUAGCAAGUUUUGUUUAUACAGGCUUCUUGGCCUUAAAUUUCCUAUCUCUGGUGAUAAGAAUGUCUUUCUUCCUUCUGGUACAUACUGGAAAGGUACCUUUCACAUGGAGACUUAUUUCCCACUUUCAGGGGGACAAAUGGGGCCUCAGAGUAUCCUUCUUGUACUGGCUGUUUCUUAAGUAACUUUAAUUCAAAAUAAUCAGUAUGCCAAAGUGAUAUAUUUUGGGGUGACCUAUUUUGUUCCUCCUCAGUAAGUUCUGUGACAUUGACCAAAAAGGCAUUAUCAAUUAUGCUGAUAAGUUUUCACUUAGAGGCACAUUGGGUUAACCUGAUAUAUCCAGAAAGGGUUGGGGAAAUUGAAAUCUUGUUGAUUUUACUACAUCUUUGCCUAUACAGUAUUUCAAUACAUGUAUUUUAAUUACAGUAUGUGAUACAAAUACUUACUAUUUACUAAAUACUAAAUUUACUAUUAUAUGUACUAUAAUAUUUGUACAUAUAAUUGCAAUUAUAAAUGCCUUAUCACAUGCUUGAAUAUGGCAAUUAUAAUCCCUAACACAAUCACUAAGAAAAUAACUCAAAAAUAGUCAAAGAAAUUAUAAGGGAAUUAAAAUGGUACACUAAGAAAUAUAUCUCUUUAACACAAAAGAAGGCAGUAAUGGAGAAACUGAGGAACAAAAAAAAAGAGACAUGACAUAUAGAAAACAAAACAGUAGAAAUCCUUCUUUAUCGGUAAUUACAUUAAAUGUAAAUGAAUUAAACUCUCCAAUUAAAGGGGACAGAUUGGCAGAAUAGAUUUUUUAAAAAACACAAUCCAAGUAUAUGCUAUUUACAAGAUACUCACUUUAGAUUCAAAGACAAAAAAAGAUUGAAAAUAAAAAAGUGGGAGAAGAUAGUCCAUGCAAACAAUAACCAAAAGAGAGCUGAACUAGCUAAACUAACAUCAGACAAAAUAGACUUUAAGAUGAAAAUUAUUACGAGUGACAAAGAAGAACAUUACAUAAUGGUAAAAGAGUCAAUCUAUCAAGAAGAUAUAGCAAUAAUAAAAUAUAUACACCAAAAUACAUGAAGCAAAAAUUGACAGAAUGGAAAGAAGAAACAGGCAGUCCAGCAGUUAUCAUUGGAUACUUCAGGACCUCACUAGCAGUACCUCACUGUCAAGAAAAUGGAAGACUUGGGGGCGCCUGGGUGGCUCAGUCGGUUGAGCGAACGACUUCGGCUCAGGUCACGAUCUCGCGGUCUGUGAGUUCGAGCCCCGCGUCGGGCUCUGUGCUGACAGCUCAGAGCCCGGAGCCUGUUUCAGAUUCUGUGUCUCCCUCUCUCUGACCCUCCCCCAUUCAUGCUCUGUCUC
This is a long non-coding RNA of Acinonyx jubatus (cheetah), 9576 nucleotides long. RefSeq lists it as uncharacterized. Lineage: Eukaryota; Metazoa; Chordata; Mammalia; Carnivora; Felidae. The transcript has 2 exons. The record is from RefSeq and is a predicted model, not a curated record.